AUACUUACUUGGCAGAGGAGAGGCCACUAUCAAGAAAGUGGUUUUCCCAAGGUGAGGCUCUUCUAUUGCACAUCAGAAGGGUGGACCCCUGUGAUUUCCCCAAAUGCGGGAAACUUAGUUGCAUAGUUCUGAAGAUUCCUUCCUUUAGAAUGCCAUUCC
Molecule: small nuclear RNA, 159 nt
Organism: Protopterus annectens (West African lungfish)
Lineage: Eukaryota; Metazoa; Chordata; Ceratodontiformes; Protopteridae
Product: U1 spliceosomal RNA
Exons: 1
Source: RefSeq, a predicted model, not a curated record